Long non-coding RNA from Melanotaenia boesemani (Boeseman's rainbowfish), 3160 nucleotides. RefSeq lists it as uncharacterized. NCBI's taxonomy places the organism in Eukaryota, Metazoa, Chordata, Actinopteri, Atheriniformes, Melanotaeniidae. The transcript is spliced from 5 exons. The record is from RefSeq and is a predicted model, not a curated record.
CUACUUGAGGCAGAUUGUAUUCCUGUGUGGUUUACUGUUGUAAUAUGACUGUCGGACUUUGGCGGGAGUUUGUCCCCGGGGAACUGACCAGGCGAGUGAGUAUGUAUGUAUGUAUGUAUGUAUGUAUGUAUGUAUGUAUGUAUGUAUGUAUGUAUGUGUGUGUGUGUGUGUGUGUGCGCGCGCGCGUUUAUGGACUCAGUAGGGACAGCUGUCAGUGACGAGACGGCUUCGUCACAUUAUCCCUCUCUUCCCCAAGGUUGGGAAUGUUUGGCAACCGUGACAUCUAGUCUGCUACGACAUUGGAUUUUCCAGAUCGAUGGCGGAUGUGGAACUUGAAAGGCUGCAGUGAGAGGUACCACCAUGUAAGCCGGCUAUUUUUGUCUUUCAUUGAACUAAUCCAGGUAAGAGCACGAUGAUCAGUCUCUAGAUCAAAUUCUCUGCCCAACAGAUAAUAGCGCAGACUUUCUAAUGCCCAUUUUAUUGCUAGUCCUUCUUUUCAAUGACAGAGUAUCUGGUCUCACGGGGAAGUAGCUUCCUGCUCAGGUACAGGAUGGGUUGCUCAGCUCCUUCCUCACCCUGGGCCAGGACUGCUCCGAUUCCCACGGCUGAUGCAUCCACUUGCACCAGGAACUUCUUGUUAAAGUCUGGGCUGCACAGGACCGGAGAUGAACACAGCUGUCCAUUAAGGCCUCUGAAGGCUUCCUCACAUUCCUCAUUCCAGGCCACAGGGUUCUUCUGGUCUUUGGUGGUAAGUGCUGUAAGUGGGGCAGCGAUGGUUGCGAACUGCGGUACAAAACGGCGAUACCAGCCAGCCAAACCCAGGAAAGAACGAACCUCCUUUUUGGUCCGUGGUUGCGGGCAGUUAAGGAUGGCCUCCACUUUGUCCACCUGUGGCCGUACCUCUCCUCGUCCCAGCUGGUAUCCCAAGUAUCGAACCUCUUGUUUAGCCCACUCACACUUGGCAAUAUUUAAAGUCAGCCCGGCCUGCUGAAUGGCUCCCAGGACUCUCCUCAGAUGUUUGAUGUGCUCUUCCCAGGUGUUGCUAAAGAUGACCACAUCAUCCAAAUAGGCAGCACUGGAGUCUUCAUACCCCUGGAGGACCCUGUCCAUCAGUCUCUGGAAGGUUGCUGGGGCUCCAUGGAGGCCAAACGGCAUGACCGAGUCCAGCAGGUGUGCGAAAAGCUGUGUAGGGUCGGCAGGAGGGCUCCAAAGGUCAUCAAUUCUCGGCAUGGGAUAGGCGUCAAACUCUGAAAUGGCGUUCAGCUUUCUGAAAUCGAUGCAGGGCCGUAGUGAGCCAUCCUUUUUGGUUAGGAGGACCAUUGGGCUACACCACUCUGAUUCUGAUGGCUCGAUCACCCCCAUCUCCAGCAUGGUUGUGAUCUCCUCCUUCAGUUUCCCAACCAGCUGCUGAGGAACACGGUAUAGACGUUGUCUGAUGGGUCAGUUGUCCUUUAACCGGAUGACAUGUUGAGUGACUGAGGUUCUGCCUGGUGUUGCUCCAAACAGGGACGGUGCCUCCAGGAACACUUGUAGAAGGUCUGAUGCUUGGUCAUGUGUGAGAUGGGAAAGCACUGGUGUUGCAGUCUGGGUUAAGGUGUCCCAACCUGGGUUUUCCUUCUCAAACUCUUCCUCUCUCACCACUAGGCCCACUGUCGCCUGAGUCUGAGGUUCUUUCCAUCUCUUUAGUAGGUUGACAUGGUAAGUCUGUUUCGGCUUCUUCUUAUCAGGAUGAUGCACUUCAUAUGUCACAGGGCCCAUUUUCCGGGUAAUGGUGUACGGUCCUUGCCACUUUGACAACAGUUUACUGUUGGAGGAAGGAAGGAGUAGAAGCACCUUCUGACGAGGAGUACAUGUUUUCUGACAGGUUGGGCAUGUCAUGCAGUAUGAUUGAAUGUCUGUGUACAUACCAGGCCAAUAAAACCGUGAGCUAACGCAUAUGUAAAUUUUAUGUCGUCCAAGGUGCCCAGCCCAUGGAACAGUAUGAGCUAAAUGCAUUUCCAAGGGUCUGCAGCUAAUUGGGAUUACAAGGCGUUUGUGGUUGUCACUGCUUAUAUACAAUAUACCAUUUUCAACAAUACAAAACUCAUUCCCCACAGGGUUAACAUUCCCAACAUCCAUCACCUUGGCAAACAGGGGCUCCAAUGUGCUAUCUUGCUUCUGUAAUUCCACAAUAUUUUCAGGUAUCUCCCAUAUUUUGUCUGUGUUUAAACCUUGUACAUUGUGUUCAGUUAAACCAAGCUGUUUUUCAAAACGACGUUGCCGUCUAGACUUUUUAGGCCCUUUUAUGCCACCCUCACACAGACUACCAUCCAAGUCUGGGAGAGGCAUGACCCCAGCCUUUGCAUGGGCUCUAGUAAUGACCAGACAAGAAACACACUCCUGGUCAUUAGCAUUAGCAGUAGCAGUGUCAUUGGUGUUAGCAUCAACAUUAUCAGUCCCAGCAGUUUCAUCAAUCUCCCCUUUCUGUAGCAAACAUAUCAGCACUGGCAAGUCCCUCCCCAAAAGAAGGUCCACAGGCAUUAUCUACCACCCCAACAGUCAGAAAAUAAGGCUGAUCAUCGAUUAACACAGUUAUUUCAGUCUGAGGUGGACAAACUGAAGCUUUGUGUCCAGGCUGCUGACAAUAAUAGCAAAUCAGUGUCUUACCGGUUGCUGGUUGUUCAGUCUCUGUGCUGGUGGUACCUGGAAGAUGUCGUACUGUUGCUCCCCGUUGUGUCCAGCCCUGCGAUAUCGGAAGGGCUGGAGGCCGUACGUUGGUGGUGGGUCGAGCCAAGGUGGUGGUACGUGUAGAUGGUCCUCCUCUGCGUGCAUUGAGGACGCGAAGAAGUUGCUCCAGGAUGAUGGCCUCCCCGAUCUGCUCUUUGGUCCGUUGCUCCGGCUGAAUCCAACGGCGGUAGAGUCCUUUUAAGCGGUGAUAUGUCUCAGUGGGCGUUUCUCCAUGUGGCACAGAUGGCACUGAUCACUCCUCUUCCUCAUGCUCUGCAUGCUGACACAGUCACUGAGGAACGCUCCAGACAUGAAGAGGCUGUCCAGGCCCCUGAGGUCUAGCCUCCGAAGCGAGGUCAGGCGAGGGAGAAGAGACAGCAGAGACGCCUCUGUUAUACUGCUACCAGGCAGAGCCAAACUCUCCACCCUGGAGCCCAGAGACAGACCCACCUGA